AGCGGAAGAAAAGAAACUAACCAGGCAWUCCSCUAGUAACGGCGAGUGAACCGGGAAGAGCCCAGCUUGAAAAUCUCCAGCCCCCGGCUGGCGAAUUGUAGUCUAGAGAAGCGCCUUCUGCGGAGCUCCGGGCCCAAGUCCCCUGGAAAGGGGCGUCAGAGAGGGUGAGAACCCCGUUGGGCCCGGCCGCCUUCGCCCCACGAAGCGCUUUCCCAGAGUCGGGUUGUUUGGGAAUGCAGCCCAAAGCAGGUGGUAAAUCCCAUCUAAGGCUAAAUACCGACGGGAGACCGAUAGCGAACAAGUACCGUGAGGGAAAGAUGAAAAGAACUUUGAAAAGAGAGUUAAAAAGUGCUUGAAAUUGUUGAGAGGGAAGCGAUUGGAGGCCACGGGUGCGCCCAGGCACACGCCCGCCUAACGGUCGGCUGAAUGCGCUGGGUGCUGGUCAGCAUGGGUUGGGGGGGCGGGACAACCCCGGGGAUUGUUACCCCGGCUAUGCCUCCUCCCCGACCGAGGCGUGAACGGCGCUCUUGUAGUCCCUCGGGAACUGCGUCGUCAAGAUGCUGGCGGAAGGCCUUCAAUCGGCCCGUCUUGAAACACGGACCAAGGAGUCUAACAUGUAUGCGAGCUGGUGGGUGGCAAACCCAUGAAGCGCAAGGAAACUAACUGGUGGGAUGGCCUGUGCCUGCACCAUCGACCGACCAUGAUCUUCUGUGAAAGGUUCGAGUACGAGCAUACCUGUUGGGACCCGAAAGAUGGUGAACUAUGCCUGAGCAGGGCGAAGCCAGAGGAAACUCUGGUGGAGGCUCGUAGAUGUGCUGACGUGCAAAUCGCUKUUCGGACUGAUGGGUAUAGGGGCGAAAGACUAAUCGAACCUUCUAGUAAA
RNAcentral lists this ribosomal RNA (883 nucleotides) under Micractinium reisseri. Its description in RNAcentral is "eukaryotic LSU rRNA". It matches the Rfam family "Eukaryotic large subunit ribosomal RNA", at positions 49 to 951 of the family's 3401-position model. Lineage: Eukaryota; Viridiplantae; Chlorophyta; Trebouxiophyceae; Chlorellales; Chlorellaceae. The record is from RNAcentral.